Molecule: ribosomal RNA, 253 nt
Filed under: uncultured bacterium
Lineage: Bacteria
Description: partial 16S ribosomal RNA
Rfam family: Bacterial small subunit ribosomal RNA
Source: RNAcentral
UACGUAGGGUGCGAGCGUUAAUCGGAAUUACUGGGCGUAAAGCGUGCGCAGGCGGUUUUGUAAGCCAGAUGUGAAAUCCCCGGGCUUAACCUGGGAAUGGCAUUUGGGACUGCAAGGCUCGAGUGCGGCAGAGGAGACUGGAAUUCCUGGUGUAGCAGUGAAAUGCGUAGAGAUGUGGAGGAGCACCGAUGGCGAAGGCAGCCCCCUGGGUCAAGAUUGACGCUCAUGCACGAAAGCGUGGGGAGCAAACAGG